AUUAUUGUUGUAGUACAAUCCAGAGGAUGGGAAGUGUUGACCAUUUUAUGUUCCUUGCAAGAUUAGAAAGCUGAACAAUGAAAUACUUGAAUCAGACAAUUUAUCAUUGGAACAAAGCACAAAUAAGCCCCUAUAUUUUUGACCAAUGCCCAAACAAGCGUAAAAUGAGCUUUUUGGCCUUAUAAAUCCGGACCUUUUUAUUGAAGCCCGUUUAGGCCCAAAGUUUGACAAGAAAAUGGCACUUGUAG
RNAcentral lists this unclassified non-coding RNA (248 nucleotides) under Hevea brasiliensis (rubber tree). The record is from RNAcentral. Lineage: Eukaryota; Viridiplantae; Streptophyta; Magnoliopsida; Malpighiales; Euphorbiaceae.